UGAGGAAUAUUGGACAAUGGGUGCAAGCCUGAUCCAGCCAUCCCGCGUGUAGGAAGACGGCCCUAUGGGUUGUAAACUACUUUUAUCUGGGGAUAAACCUACUUACGUGUAAGUAGCUGAAGGUACCAGAUGAAUAAGCACCGGCUAACUCCGUGCCAGCAGCCGCGGUAAUACGGAGGGUGCAAGCGUUAUCCGGAUUUAUUGGGUUUAAAGGGUCCGUAGGCGGACUGAUAAGUCAGUGGUGAAAUCCGACAGCUUAACUGUCGAACUGCCAUUGAUACUGUUAGUCUUGAGUAAGGUUGAAGUGGCUGGAAUAAGUAGUGUAGCGGUGAAAUGCAUAGAUAUUACUUAGAACACCAAUUGCGAAGGCAGGUCACUAAGUCUUAACUGACGCUGAUGGACGAAAGCGUGGGGAGCGAACAG
RNAcentral lists this ribosomal RNA (423 nucleotides) under uncultured bacterium. Its description in RNAcentral is "bacterial SSU rRNA". It matches the Rfam family "Bacterial small subunit ribosomal RNA", at positions 355 to 775 of the family's 1533-position model. The record is from RNAcentral.